GGUCACAGGCGCAGUUCAGAUCUGGUGUUGCUGUGACUGUGGUGUAGGCUGGCAGCGGCAGCUCCCAGUGGACCCCUAGCCUGGGCACUUCCAUAUGUCGUGAGUGCCAACCUAAAAAAAGAGAGAAAGAGAGAAAUAGAUAGGCAUAAUUGGCUCUUAUAAACCAUUAUAAAUUGCUCCAGCACACCAUUGCUUAGGUCCAUAAAACAGAAUAGUAUGGAUGAAUGUAUUAGGUUGACUUUCUCUGUGAUUAAGACAUCUAAGCAGCCUGAAAGUUCAGGAUCAACAAGGAGGAAUAACCAAAAGGAUGGGGGAGGGCAGGAUGAAAGCAGAAGAGAAAGCUGGAAGGUAGGACCUAGUCAGCUGUCACUCAUACAGUGCAUGUUUUUAAGUAGCUAUUACUUGUGAGCUUCUUGGGCAGGUAUUUGAUUGGGAGUUGAUGGCUCUGCAUACAGGUGGCAAUAGAGUACUUCCUUUCCUUCAACUAGUUUAUAGUCUGGAUUUGCCCAGAGCUGACCACUGAAUCUUGGACAGUGCUGCUGGUGAUGGAAGAGGACCCCAAGCCACAUUUUCAUACUGUUGAAACACUUCCUUUAUAGCAAUAGGAAACCUUGGUGGACUGGGUUGCUGUCUUGUCUAGUGAUCAGAUAAUCAUUAACAGCAGAAGACUGCUGUGCUGUUAGUGCUUAAGGGAAAAGAGCAUUGAUCAAUAUUGACGUCUUAAGAGGAAAAGUAAAACCUCCCAAAUGUCAUCCCACCACUCAUUCAUAAAUAUUCUGUUGCCAUAUUGCAAUUGAUCAUUCUGUGCAAAUGUCUUUGGGCCAAAUAGCCCUGUGUUGGGGGAAAACACACAUCAGGCCAGCUAUUCAAGAUGAUUUGAGGAAACUUUUUCCAAAAUUCCUGCCUUGAAUCAUUAAAAAAAAAAAAAAAAAAAAAAAAAAAAAAGCUGAAACUGGCUGGUUAAAUGAUGGUGCAUUGUAAUAUCUGCUGCUGGAAGAAGGCAAGAAGUGUUAUUUACAGGCAGUGCCAGGUAACUAGACUAUAUAUUCAUUCAUUCAUUUACUCAUUCAUUUGUCAGAUAUUUAUUGAGGGUAUUCUGCCAGGCCCUGCAGCAGAAACUAGAGCUACACAGAGAACUAGGGAUGCAUUCACUCCCCUCAUUAUGUUUAAAAUCAACGGGAGACUAUCAGGCAGGAAAAAGUCAGUAAGCUGAUGAUUACCAACUGCAGAGGUAUAAGAAGAAAACAAACAAGGAGCUGUGAUAAAGCAAAACACUGGAAAUCUAGUCUUAGAUGAGGCAUUCAGGAAAGCCUUAAGGAGAUUACAUUUCAGUCUCAGCAUGGAAAAGGAAGCAGCCAGGCAAAGUUUGGGGCAAAGAGUAUGGGGGACUCAGGAGAGCAAACUGAAGAGACUUCUAGGCAGAGGACAUAGCAUGUGCACAGACCUAAAUGCAGCAGAGAGCUUGGUGGGUUCAAGGGCCAAAAUAAGACCAGACACAUCUGUAAAUACAGAAGAAAGUAGAUUAGUGUUUCCUUGGUCUGGGAAGGUGGGGGGAAAUGGGCAGUGAUGGUUAAUGGGCACAGGAUUUGGGGUGGGUGCUAAAAUGUUCUAAUAUUGAUUGUGGUCACAGUUGCACAACUGUGUGAAUGUGUUGAAAACCAUUAAAUUGUACACAUUUUUUAAAUGAAUUAAUUUAUUUUUUGCUUUCUAGGGCUGCACUCGUAGCAUAUGGAAGUUCCCAUGCUGGGGGUUGAAUAGAAACUACAGCUGCUGGCCUACACCACAGCCACAGCAAUGCCAGAUUUGAGCCACAUCUUCAAGCUGUAGCAGAGCUCAUGGCAACGCCGGAUCCUUAACCCACUGAGCAAGGCCAGGGAUCAAACCUGCAUUCUCAUGGUUACUAGUUGGGUUCUUUCCUGCCAUGCCACAGCAAUAGCUCCUUAAAUUGUAACUUUAAAUGAGUGAAUAUAUGAUAUGUGAAUUACAACUCAGUUAAGCUGGUUUUAAAGCAAAUCUAAAUAUUUGCAGUCUAGGGAGCUGGAGUGGGUGAGAGUAAGACAAAGUUGGAAGUUCUCAGGCAGGCACAUGGCAGUUGGGGCCUGUGGGCUGGUACCAGAGAGUUUACUGUGGGUCAAGAGAAAUCAUCACAUGGGUGGCUGUGUGGCUGUGGGGUGGGAUGGGAAGGCAAGGGUGGAAAGACAGAACAUAUAGAGAAUAUUGCAACAAUGUAGAUGAAAAAUGUGGUUAAGACUAGGUGACAGAAGCAGGUGUGGAGAGAAGUGGGGACUCAAGACACAUUUCAGAGGGUAUCCACAACUGACAGGAAUUAAUGAAGAAUUAAAUGUGGGAAAUGGGGAGAAAUGACACAUCAAGGAAAAUUCCGUCUCACCUGUGCCCUUUCCUAACUG
Molecule: long non-coding RNA, 2408 nt
Filed under: Sus scrofa (pig)
Lineage: Eukaryota; Metazoa; Chordata; Mammalia; Artiodactyla; Suidae
Description: lncRNA (ENSSSCG00060009434.1)
Source: RNAcentral